RNAcentral lists this long non-coding RNA (156 nucleotides) under Mustela putorius furo (domestic ferret). RNAcentral's name for it is "lncRNA (ENSMPUG00000025445.1)". Lineage: Eukaryota; Metazoa; Chordata; Mammalia; Carnivora; Mustelidae. The record is from RNAcentral.
AUGAAGUUAACAGAGAUUUGGCUCCAAACUGGCCUCCUGAUGCAGAUAUCAUACAGCAGUGAUUCGAGAACAUGCAUCUCUGGACCCUUGGGGCCUGUAUUUAUAUCCUGGCCUCUAGUUACUAGCCGUGCUAACUUGAUGUUGAAGCAGUAUUGA